This is a long non-coding RNA of Oxyura jamaicensis (ruddy duck), 1038 nucleotides long. RefSeq lists it as uncharacterized. NCBI's taxonomy places the organism in Eukaryota, Metazoa, Chordata, Aves, Anseriformes, Anatidae. The transcript is spliced from 2 exons. The record is from RefSeq and is a predicted model, not a curated record.
UCAUAUCCCUCCUCAGCCCUUGUUUUACUAAGCCAAAAAAACACCAUGCUCUAUUUCUUUGCUUGUAAGACAGGCUUUUAUUUCGUUGAAUCACAUUGGCAGCCCUUACCCAUGCCUGCUCCAGACCAGAUCCAUCUUUCUUGAACUCUGGUGACCAGAAGCACGCACAGCAUUGCAAGUAGGCAUUCACCACGAGAGAAAAAGCUUUUGCCACAGAAGCUUGCUGUCCUUCCUAGACUGUCGUUGUUUGAUACUUUCUUGGGGCUGUGCUUGCCUUUUUCACAGUUUUGUCACAGUGGUGUCUCCACCAUCAGUCAGUGGUUGAUCAAAGCAUCCAUGAUGUUCUCCUCAGGCACGGCCAGCUCCAUCCCCAGAUUUCAAGGUCAUCGUCUUCUGCCAUACCCUGAUUCUUCUGUCUUCCUAUUGCCAGCAGAGUUUGAGUCAUCAGCACAUUUCGCUAGCUUAUCUGGAGCUUCUGAAAAACACAGAUCUGGUAUCCCGGAGAUAUGAAGCUUAACAGUGUAAUCAAAGUGGUUGGUUUCUGCAUCUGUGACUUCAUAGCCCCUCCAGCCUAUGCCCUCACAGAUGACUUCUCCUGGAACUGAUACUGUGUCCUACUAAGCCUAUAAUAAACCUCUAAUUAAUUUCAUGGGGCAUUUCACUGUCCCCAGAUUUUCUGCACCUUUCUAAAUUUUGCCUCUUUCCAGUAUGCUGAUUUAAUGGUUGUUCCAGGCUUUCCCUCCAUCUGAUGCAUAUACUUUUUUUUUUUUUUUUUUUUAAUCCAUUGAUUUAGAUAUUCUGGCAACUCUCAGCUGUGAUAUCAUGACAUAAAUACCUGGCUGUAUGUUUCCACGAGGACCAUUUUGCAAGAGAAAAGACUUUUAACACUCAUAGUUAAGGGUUCUUAAAAAUUAUCAGCGAUGUGCAUCAGUAUGUGCUUACACUGUUUCUGUGCACAGCAAGUGAGAUUCUGGCUUUGCCUUGCUCCUGUGGGCUUUUUUUUCUUAAAAAAAAAAAAAAAAAAAAAAAAAAGAGAAA